This 106-nucleotide small RNA is filed under the name Escherichia coli. RNAcentral describes it as "partial RtT sRNA". It matches the Rfam family "RtT RNA", at positions 1 to 104 of the family's 130-position model. Rfam says of the family: This family represents a bacterial cis-regulatory element known as RtT RNA. Lineage: Bacteria; Pseudomonadati; Pseudomonadota; Gammaproteobacteria; Enterobacterales; Enterobacteriaceae. The record is from RNAcentral.
AUUCUGCCCAUGCGGGGAAGGAUGAGAAGCUUCGACCAAGGUUCGACUCGAGUGCCAGCGAGAGAGCGUUGCCGCAGGCAACGACCCGUAGGGCGAAGCGCGCAGC